RNAcentral lists this long non-coding RNA (1934 nucleotides) under Numida meleagris (helmeted guineafowl). Its description in RNAcentral is "lncRNA (ENSNMEG00000009620.1)". The record is from RNAcentral. Lineage: Eukaryota; Metazoa; Chordata; Aves; Galliformes; Numididae.
CAGGGCCUUGCUGUCAACGUGAUCUGAUGUUUUUGGUUCUCUCCCAUUUCUGGAGUGUGUGAGUAAGACUCCAGCCCCAACACUACAAAUUAGCAUGGGAUAUGGGUGUCUGCAUUCAAACUGACUCGUUUCAAAUGGUUCUUCUCAUCCCUGUACAGAGUUCUUCUCUUCUCGUCUGUGGAACUUUGGGGGGUUUUGCUGUGACAUUUCCAUGGACCACUCAAUGCCAUAACCAGAGAAAUCUUACACUGGGCAUUUUGUCUUGCAAAUGCCCUUGCACGUGUGCGCAUGCUGUUGACAACGGAUGACAGGGUCCAUCAGUAUCCAAGGUGGAGCAUUUGUAUAGGAUUCAAAGUGGAGUUGAGGCAAGUACCAGAAAGCAGAGAUCCCUUAAUUCUGCUCUUGGUUUCGUGGCUUUGAACCAGAAAUCUUCCAGAGCAGAAUGCCAUUCAGUGCGGCCAGUCGGACCGUAAGAACAGCCCUACUGCUGAAGGCCAGAGGUAUAUCCAGCCCACCUAGCCCCAUUCACUUCAGUCUUACAACCCCUGAAAACACCUCAUUUUCCCAGCUGGUGACUGUCUAUUUUGUCUCUUCUCAUGUGGAAGCUAUUUCAUGACUUAGCUCAUACCUGAUACAUUUUCUCAUUGUACUGCUUUCUCGGUGAGGAUAAAAGCACAUAGAGCAUCCAAGAUCUUGGAGCUUGUGGUUUUUAUGUAGCCAUUUAGAAACAUGCUCAGUAUUUCUCCUUGUUCCUCUCCUUAUCUGUCUUUUUGACUGCUGCAGAGCACUGAGCUUAUGUUUCAUUUAUUCCUCCUUUAGUUAGAAGCACGUGAACUACAGCACUUUAAUGGAUUAUUGUGUGUCAGCUAACCUCCCAUAACUGAACAUGUACAGAUCCAGAAUAGGAAUGUACUGAAACACGUAAGUCUAAACCACCAUAGUUGUCACAGCAGUUUGCCGUGCAGUCAGAGGAGGGUCAGUUAUGCCCAUUCAGCCAACUGGCAGUAACUCACUGCAACACAUCACAACACUUCAGAGGGUCCAUUUGAGAGCACAGAAGGUCUGUUUUUGCUUGGGGCAAGCAUUGUGGUGUUAGCUUAUCACACAGUGUAGGAACUUUUGACUCCUUUCAGUUUCAGAUGUACAGAAAUACCCAACACGAAUCAGAUCUGAAAGAACUCAUGGUGCAACCAGCUCCAUGUUAUGCCCCCCACAUAGCCACCAGCUCACCAGAUCUCCCUAGACAUGCACAUGGAGAAAGCUGCAGAGAUUAGAUUUUUUUUUCUGGAGGUGCACUCUGCCCUGUUUCCAUCAUUACUUCUUCUCCUGUCAUACAGCAAAAAUACUGGCAUCCAGGAAAAGCUGUGGUUAGGAAGAAGUCCGCAGCAGGUAGCAGGGAGAAAGCUGUGCCACAGGAUCCCAGAAUAAUCCAGGUUAGAAGGGACCUCUGGUCAAAUGUCCUCUUCAAAGCAGGUCCAAAAGAAUAACUUACUCAGGACCUUGUUCUGUUGUGUUCUGAACCUCUCAGGGCUUUGUUCUGUUGUGUGUUCUGAGCAUCUCAAAGGAUAGAGAUCCUGUUAAAUCUUUGGGAUCCCAUUUCACACUGAUUUAUUUUUUAGUUUCCUUACAUCAAGACAGCAUUUCCCAUGUUAGAAAUAGCAUGGUUCUUUUUUUUUUCUUUUUUUUUCUGUUGCUGUGCAUCUUUAAGAAGAAAAAGUUUGGCACUUCAAGAAAAUUCUGUGAAUCCUACCAACCCCUGAACAAAAUUGGGCUCCUCUAUUACACUCACCCAAGCACAUGAAUCAGGUUGGAUAUUAGGAAAAAUUUCUUCUGAGAAACAGUGGCAAGGCAUUGGAAUUGGCUGACCUCGGAAGUGGUGGAGUCACCAUCCCUGGAGGUGUUCAAUAAAUGUGCAGAUGUGGCACUGAGGGACA